CAAAAUAUAGUUUAAUUUAAAACACCUCGCUUACACCGAGCUAACAUCUGUUAAAGCCAGAUUAUUUUGA
This 70-nucleotide transfer RNA is filed under the name Duellmanohyla salvavida. Its description in RNAcentral is "tRNA-Val". It matches the Rfam family "tRNA". From Rfam's summary of the family: Transfer RNA (tRNA) molecules are approximately 80 nucleotides in length. Their secondary structure includes four short double-helical elements and three loops (D, anti-codon, and T loops). The record is from RNAcentral. Lineage: Eukaryota; Metazoa; Chordata; Amphibia; Anura; Hylidae.